RNAcentral lists this ribosomal RNA (202 nucleotides) under uncultured bacterium. RNAcentral's name for it is "partial 16S ribosomal RNA". It matches the Rfam family "Bacterial small subunit ribosomal RNA", at positions 524 to 725 of the family's 1533-position model. The record is from RNAcentral.
UACGUAGGCAGCGAGCGUUGUUCGGAAUUACUGGGCGUAAAGAGUGUGUAGGCGGUGCUCUAAGUUCGGUGUGAAAUCUCCCGCUUAACUGGGAGGGUGCGCCGGAAACUGGAGUGCUCGAGCGUGGGAGAGGAAAGCGGAAUUCCUGGGUGUAGCGGUGAAAUGCGUAGAUAUCAGGAGGAACACCUGCGGUGUAGACGGC